CCUACGGGUGGCUGCAGUGGGGAAUAUUGGGCAAUGGAGGAAACUCUGACCCAGCAACGCCGCGUGAAUGAUGAAGGCUUUCGGAUUGGAAAGUUCUUUUCUAAGGGAGGAAGAAGGUGACGGUACCUUAGGAAUAAGCCUCUGCUAACAACGAGCCAGCAGCCGCGGUAAUACGUAGGAGGCAAGCGUUAUGCGGAAUGAUUGGGUGUAAAGGGUGCGUAGGUGGUUGGACAAGUUGGUCGUGAAACUCAGGGGCUCAACCUCGGCACUACUACAAAUACUGUUGGACUUGAGAGCAGGAGGGGCAAAUGGAAUGCCUAGUGUAGCGGUGGAAUGCGUAGAUAUUAGGAGGAACACCAGUGGCGAAGGCGAUUUGCUGGGCUGUAACUGACGCUGAGGCACGAAAGCGUGGGGAGCAAACAGGAUUAGAUACCCUAGUAGUC
RNAcentral lists this ribosomal RNA (443 nucleotides) under uncultured bacterium. Its description in RNAcentral is "partial 16S ribosomal RNA". It matches the Rfam family "Bacterial small subunit ribosomal RNA", at positions 338 to 795 of the family's 1533-position model. The record is from RNAcentral.